RNAcentral lists this ribosomal RNA (446 nucleotides) under uncultured bacterium. RNAcentral's name for it is "partial 16S ribosomal RNA". It matches the Rfam family "Bacterial small subunit ribosomal RNA", at positions 338 to 795 of the family's 1533-position model. The record is from RNAcentral.
CCUACGGGAGGCAGCAGUCGAGAAUCAUUCACAAUGGGGGAAACCCUGAUGGUGCGACGCCGCGUGGGGGAAUGAAGGUCUUCGGAUUGUAAACCCCUGUCAUGUGGGAGCAAAUUAAAAAGAUAGUACCACAAGAGGAAGAGACGGCUAACUCUGUGCCAGCAGCCGCGGUAAUACAGAGGUCUCAAGCGUUGUUCGGAAUCACUGGGCGUAAAGAGUGCGGAGGCUGUUUCGUAAGUCGUGUGUGAAAGGCGCGGGCUCAACCCGCGGACUGCACAUGAUACUGCGAGACUAGAGUAAUGGAGGGGGAUCCGGAAUUCUCGGUGUAGCAGUGAAAUGCGUAGAUAUCGAGAGGAACACUCGUGGCGAAGGCGGGUUCCUGGACAUUAACUGACGCUGAGGCACGAAGGCCAGGGGAGCGAAAGGGAUUAGAUACCCCAGUAGUC